Molecule: long non-coding RNA, 850 nt
Organism: Lotus japonicus
Lineage: Eukaryota; Viridiplantae; Streptophyta; Magnoliopsida; Fabales; Fabaceae
Exons: 3
Source: RefSeq, a predicted model, not a curated record
UUUUAUUUAUAUCAUACUUAUUCAUGAUAAUUCCCCUGGUUCUCCUAGAUUCUUUCUUCAUCAAAUUCAUCCCGACCACAUUGAAAUCCAAAGUUUUUCCAUCUCCAAGAUCAAAGAAAAAAAACAUGCAUUUCUUCAUGUAAAUAAAAAAUAAAAAAUAAAAAAUCCAACCCUAAGUGAGCAGUGAGCAGCACAACUCCAGCUUCUCCAUUCUUUACGCUUCACUCCAGCUUCGGCCACCACUGCGAACACCGUCGACCGUCGCACCAAUGGUGGAGUUUGCCACUUGCUCCCCUGCUACUAGCGCCACCAUGAAGGCACUCAUAUAGCAGGAGACAUAGUAGAGGUUGGACGUCAGAGAUUUUAAAGUUGUCAACAAAGUCAUUGUUAAACUCGAACAUCAUGAUGGAGACUGAUGCGAAGACUGUAAUAGCAGUAUUGGGCCAUAGAAGUGUUCAUCAGAGGCAGCAAAUCAGAAAUGUUUAUGCGGAGCUUUACCAAGAGGAUAUCAUCAAACUUCUUGAGCCUGAGCUCUCUGGUGGCUUUCAGUACGACCAGAACAUGAUUUUGCCAACAAUGUCAUAUAGUUUUAUCUUAGCUUCAGGAGUCAUGAUUUUGCCAACAGAAAGCUGUUUACCAACUGGAUACUGGAACCUACUGACCAUGAUGAAGUUGUGGCCAAUGUAACCUCAAGAGUGGUGGCAGCAAAGGUUACCAUGUGAUUGUUGAAAUUCCUUGUACUCUUCACUUGAAGAGGUUUUGGCAGUGAGGCAUGCUUAUCACAAGUCACAACCCUUACAAAGGUUCGUUAGAAGAUAUAGCUACUAAUACCACUGGCCACCUUUGCCAG